AAAUUGAAGAGUUUGAUCAUGGCUCAGAUUGAACGCUGGCGGCAGGCCUAACACAUGCAAGUCGAACGGUAGCACAGAGAGCUUGCUCUCGGGUGACGAGUGGCGGACGGGUGAGUAAUGUCUGGGAAACUGCCUGAUGGAGGGGGAUAACUACUGGAAACGGUGGCUAAUACCGCAUAACGUCGCAAGACCAAAGAGGGGGACCUUCGGGCCUCUUGCCAUCAGAUGUGCCCAGAUGGGAUUAGCUUGUUGGUGAGGUAACGGCUCACCAAGGCGACGAUCCCUAGCUGGUCUGAGAGGAUGACCAGCCACACUGGAACUGAGACACGGUCCAGACUCCUACGGGAGGCAGCAGUGGGGAAUAUUGCACAAUGGGCGCAAGCCUGAUGCAGCCAUGCCGCGUGUAUGAAGAAGGCCUUCGGGUUGUAAAGUACUUUCAGCGGGGAGGAAGGUGUUGUGGUUAAUAACCGCAGCAAUUGACGUUACCC
RNAcentral lists this ribosomal RNA (488 nucleotides) under Salmonella enterica subsp. enterica serovar Muenchen. RNAcentral's name for it is "bacterial SSU rRNA". It matches the Rfam family "Bacterial small subunit ribosomal RNA", at positions 1 to 480 of the family's 1533-position model. RNAcentral also lists the same sequence under 4 other names. Lineage: Bacteria; Pseudomonadati; Pseudomonadota; Gammaproteobacteria; Enterobacterales; Enterobacteriaceae. The record is from RNAcentral.